Molecule: small nucleolar RNA, 131 nt
Organism: Otolemur garnettii (small-eared galago)
Lineage: Eukaryota; Metazoa; Chordata; Mammalia; Primates; Galagidae
Source: Ensembl
GGGGUGUGCUCAGAGCAGGGGGCCUGAAGCUUGGCUCCUCUGUUUAUAAUACACCAGACAGGAAUCUAGGGUCAUUGUAACAAAGGGCAGCACAAAACUUGUGGCCUCCUGUAAACAAAUGCCCUACAUAG